GCCAGCCGCCGCGGUAAUACCUGCAGCUCAAGUGGUGGCCGCUAUUAUUGGGCCUAAAACGUCCGUAGCCGGUUCUAUAAAUGCCUGGGUAAAUCGUACGGCUUAACCGUACGAAUUCCGGGUAGACUGUUCAACUUGGGACCGGGAGAGGCUAGAGGUACUCCUGGGGGUAGAGGUGAAAUUCUGUAAUCCUAGGGGGGACCACCAGUGGCGAAGGCGUCUAGCUAGAACGGGUCUGACGGUGAGGGACGAAGCCCUGGGGAGCAAACGGGAUUAGAUACCCCGGUAGUCCAGGGUGUAAACGCUGCUCGCUUGAUGUUAGUCGGGCUCCGAGCCCAACUAGUGUCGGAGAGAAGUUGUUAAGCGAGCUGCCUGGGGAGUACGGUCGCAAGACUGAAACUUAAAGGAAUUGGCGGGGGAGCCACCGCAACGGGUGGAGCGUGCGGUUUAAUUGGAUUCAACGCCGGAAAACUCACCGGGGGCGACGGUUAUAUGAAGGCCAGGCUGAUGACCUUGCCUGAUUUUCCGAGAAGUGGUGCAUGG
Molecule: ribosomal RNA, 543 nt
Filed under: uncultured archaeon
Lineage: Archaea
Description: bacterial SSU rRNA
Rfam family: Archaeal small subunit ribosomal RNA
Source: RNAcentral